UUGGGAGGGAAGACAGCUGGAGA
RNAcentral lists this microRNA (23 nucleotides) under Homo sapiens (human). RNAcentral describes it as "hsa-miR-6780a-5p". Lineage: Eukaryota; Metazoa; Chordata; Mammalia; Primates; Hominidae. The record is from miRBase by way of RNAcentral.